Molecule: RNase P RNA, 450 nt
Filed under: bacterium
Lineage: Bacteria
Description: RNase P RNA component class A
Rfam family: Bacterial RNase P class A
About the family: Ribonuclease P (RNase P) is a ubiquitous endoribonuclease, found in archaea, bacteria and eukarya as well as chloroplasts and mitochondria.
Source: RNAcentral
GGAGCAGGCCCGAUGGUCGCCGUCCGGGUCCCGCAAGGGAGGACGGGCGGAGGAAAGUCCGGACUUCACAGGGCAGGAUGCCCUACGGGGGCACCGCGAGGUGACGGAAAGUGCCACAGAAAACAUACCGCCCCGCGCCUAAUUUUUUCUGAUUGCGUGCAGUUUUGGCAAUCAGUCCCUGGGCCUUCAGAAAAAAUUAGGUGCGGGGUAAGGGUGAAAUGGUGCGGCCUGGGAUCAACCGGGCUUAAUGUAAGAGCGCACCGCGCGGCGGGCGACCGUCGCGGCAGGGCAAACCCCAUCCGAAGCAAGGCCAAGCAGGUUCCAGGGGUGGCCCGCCCGUUGUCCGGGAUUCCGGUCCCGGGCCACAGGAACCGGGUAGGCCGCGCAGAUCAAUGACCAUCCCCCGCACUUGGUGCGGGGACAGAAUCCGGCUUAAGACCUGCUCCGGCC